CUCAAAGGAAUUGACGGGGACCCGCACAAGCGGUGGAUGAUGUGGUUUAAUUCGAUGCAACGCGAAAAACCUUACCCACCUUUGACAUGGCAGGAAUUCUUCAGAGAUGAGGAAGUGCUCGAAAGAGAACCUGCACACAGGUGCUGCAUGGCUGUCGUCAGCUCGUGUCGUGAGAUGUUGGGUUAAGUCCCGCAACGAGCGCAACCCUUGCCAUUAGUUGCUACGAAAGGGCACUCUAAUGGGACUGCCGGUGACAAACCGGAGGAAGGUGGGGAUGACGUCAAGUCCUCAUGGCCCUUAUAGGUGGGGCUACACACGUCAUACAAUGGCUGGUACAGAGGGUUGCCAACCCGCGAGGGGGAGCUAAUCCCACAAAGCCAGUCGUAGUCCGGAUCGCAGUCUGCAACUCGACUGCGUGAAGUCGGAAUCGCUAGUAAUCGCGGAUCAGAAUGUCGCGGUGAAUACGUUCCCGGGUCUUGUACACACCGCCCGUCACACCAUGGGAGCGGGUUCUGCCA
This 518-nucleotide ribosomal RNA is filed under the name uncultured beta proteobacterium. Its description in RNAcentral is "bacterial SSU rRNA". It matches the Rfam family "Bacterial small subunit ribosomal RNA", at positions 900 to 1422 of the family's 1533-position model. Lineage: Bacteria; Pseudomonadati; Pseudomonadota; Betaproteobacteria. The record is from RNAcentral.